CGUGUAGGCGGGAGAGCAAGUCGGACGUGAAAGGCUUUCGCUCAACGAGAGACGGCCGUUCGAUACUGUUCUUCUUGAGGGUCGAAGAGGAGCGUGGAAUUCCCGGUGUAGCGGUGAAAUGCGUAGAGAUCGGGAGGAACACCCGUGGCGAAGGCGGCGCUCUGGUCGGCCCCUGACGCUGAGACGCGAAAGCGUGGGGAGCGAACA
RNAcentral lists this ribosomal RNA (207 nucleotides) under uncultured bacterium. RNAcentral's name for it is "partial 16S ribosomal RNA". It matches the Rfam family "Bacterial small subunit ribosomal RNA", at positions 568 to 774 of the family's 1533-position model. The record is from RNAcentral.